AACCAUGCAAGUCGAACGCUCACCUUCGGGUGGGAGUGGCAGACGGGUGAGUAACACGUGGGAACGUACCCUUUGGUUCGGGACAACUCUGGGAAACUGGAGCUAAUACCGGAUACGCCCUUUUGGGGAAAGGUUUACUGCCGAAGGAUCGGCCCGCGUCUGAUUAGCUAGUUGGUGGGGUAACGGCCUACCAAGGCGACGAUCAGUAGCUGGUCUGAGAGGAUGAUCAGCCACACUGGGACUGAGACACGGCCCAGGCUCCUACGGGAGGCAGCAGUGGGGAAUAUUGGACAAUGGGCGCAAGCCUGAUCCAGCCAUGCCGCGUGAGUGAUGAAGGCCUUAGGGUUGUAAAGCUCUUUUAUCCGGGACGAUAAUGACGGUACCGGAGGAAUAAGCCCCGGCUAACUUCGUGCCAGCAGCCGCGGUAAUACGAAGGGGGCUAGCGUUGCUCGGAAUCACUGGGCGUAAAGGGCGCGUAGGCGGCGUUUUAAGUCGGGGGUGAAAGCCUGUGGCUCAACCACAGAAUGGCCUUCGAUACUGGGACGCUUGAGUCUGGUAGAGGUUGGUGGAACUGCGAGUGUAGAGGUGAAAUUCGUAGAUAUUCGCAAGAACACCGGUGGCGAAGGCGGCCAACUGGACCGGCACUGACGCUGAGGCGCGAAAGCGUGGGGAGCAAACAGGAUUAGAUACCCUGGUAGUCCACGCUGUAAACGAUGAAUGCUAGCUGUUGGGAUGCAUGCAUCUCAG
RNAcentral lists this ribosomal RNA (747 nucleotides) under uncultured bacterium. RNAcentral's name for it is "bacterial SSU rRNA". It matches the Rfam family "Bacterial small subunit ribosomal RNA", at positions 51 to 843 of the family's 1533-position model. The record is from RNAcentral.